CAGUAGCCGCGGGAAUACAGAGGGUGCGAGCGUUAAUCGGAUUUACUGGGCGUAAAGCGUGCGUAGGCGGCUUCUUAAGUCGGAUGUGAAAUCCCUGAGCUUAACUUAGGAAUUGCAUUCGAUACUGGGAAGCUAGAGUAUGGGAGAGGAUGGUAGAAUUCCAGGUGUAGCGGUGAAAUGCGUAGAGAUCUGGAGGAAUACCGAUGGCGAAGGCAGCCAUCUGGCCUAAUACUGACGCUGAGGUACGAAAGCAUGGGGAGCAAACUGGAUUAGAUACCCCCGUAGUCCCUGUCUCUUAUAC
Molecule: ribosomal RNA, 301 nt
Filed under: uncultured bacterium
Lineage: Bacteria
Description: partial 16S ribosomal RNA
Rfam family: Bacterial small subunit ribosomal RNA
Source: RNAcentral